Long non-coding RNA from Magnolia sinica, 4535 nucleotides. RefSeq lists it as uncharacterized. NCBI's taxonomy places the organism in Eukaryota, Viridiplantae, Streptophyta, Magnoliopsida, Magnoliales, Magnoliaceae. The record is from RefSeq and is a predicted model, not a curated record. The transcript is spliced from 7 exons.
GGAUUAGGCCCUGCUCCAAAUAAACCCUUGGUGCAGGACAGAGAAAAAGGUGUGGCAUGUUACUACAUUUUAUGAUAUUUGGACAUUUGCUUAUAAGGCCAUGGAGCUUGGGCAUAUCUAAAACAGGUUGGUAAGGCGAAUCACAUUUCUUUCUUCCUUUAAAAAUUUUUUUUUUUCCUUUCUUAUUUCUUUCUUUCCUUUUUUCUUUUCUUUUCUUUUCUUUGGUUACGAUAAGGUUAGAAAAGUUUAUCACCUGCACAGCCAUUGCAGGAAUCCUUCACUUUACCAUCAGAUCCACUGGAAACUGGACUUGGUGUUGAUGUCAGGCCUUUGGUAUCCACAAAGUUCAACUGCUUUAUGGGUUCCUUUUCUCCUCCACUUGACACUUUGGUUAUUGAGAACUCUUCCGGAUAUGGUUUGUUGGAGCCAAAGGGAGAACACUUUGGUUAUUGGGAUUUACAUGUAUGAUUUACAAGGGCAUGCUUGAGUUGAGUAUAUAGGGUUUGUGCACGUGUUUUGCUGCAGUUUUCGGGAGAAUGGUGACCUCCAAUUAGCUCUCAGGUGUCCCUUGGACUAUCAUGAUCUUGAAUCACAUUUUGGGUUCUCAUAACAUGAGCUUGUGGUUAACAUCCUACAAUUUACAAUUCGGGUUCUAUAAUCUGAUUCAUUUAUCAUGAAAAUUGAAUUAGUCCUCAGUUUGAUCUUUGUUUGAUAGGCAUCCCACAAGAUUUGUACAAUUUACUUCACUAAAAGAAGGGAUGGCAUGGGGAUCUCAUGAGAUGGCAGUGGACUGUCGAGCUCAUAGGCCUGUCUUGUUGUUGACUGGGAUCUGGCCUAGGUCUGUAACAGAUUCACAUGUUGUUGUCUAUUUUCUCUUUGAUAGAUGCAAAUGGUUACACUCACACUAUCAGUUUACAGUUUGUUAUAGUGUCAUAGUUCAUUUUUUAGACUGUUGGACAUUCAUUUUCUGUCAUAUCCUUUAUUUAUGGAAGAGAUCUUAAUGUCAACAGGGAUCUUACAAGUCAAGGCUUGAAAGGUUAUAUAAUGAUCAGAUUUUUUCUUCUAAAGUUUGUGGCUGAAAGAUCCAUUCUCAGUUGCAUUUUGUCAAUUGUUUUGCAGUGCAGGUUUGAUCAUUGCAUCAUAUCAUAUUGUCAUGAGUUUCUAAACACUUGGAGCUGUUCUUCUCUUUAGAUGGUCUUCUAUGAAUACAUGACAAAUGAGCGUUCUUAUGUAUAUCAUAUAGUUACCAGCAUCAACCUGUACCCUCGGACUUUUUUUGAUAUCUUAUAAAUGAUUUCAGGAAACAGGAUGGGUGCCUCGACAUCUUAUUGCUCAUGAUAAAUAUAUACAAAAAUAGUUCACUCGUAUGGAGAAUUUAUCUUUGACUAUUCUUGGGCUGAUGCCUACUACAGCUAUGGCGCUCAAUAUUAUCCAAAGUUACAAUGUUGUGUUCUUUUACUCCAGUAACAGGUCCCAGGAUAUUAGUCUGGAACACUUGGUAUCAAGAUCAAGUCUUUGACAAGUUAGUAUCAACAAUGAAGGAUCUUACAACUAAGGCAUUGUGCUGACUGAAUCAAGCUUCUUUCAGAUUGAUUAUUGUUUCUCACAUAUUUUUUAUGGUCCAUCUGGUCUUUCUGCACAUGGAUUUAGGAAUGGUAACAAGCCUCUUGAAAUAAAUGGGUUGAUGUCUAAGAACUUUCAUCUGGUCUUCCAGUUCAUCUUUUGCAUGCAGAGUAGCUACUGGAUAGCUUUUAUCAGAUUAUUUCCAACAUUUGUUCUACACUAGCAUGUAUGAUUGUUGCAGGUAUUUUGUAGAUAGUGUUUUGAUUGAUUCAGUUCUGUUUUUCAUCGCGGCUUGUUUUGUGUUUGCCAUACAAUCCAUUCAUAAGUUCACCCAUAUCCAGAAAAUCAGACCAUUCCAAAACACAGGUGGUUCACACGACACCCAAUGAUUGGGAUGGGAAGCCCGCCAUGUUUUGUGUUUGCCAUACAAUCCAUUCAUAAGACACGCCCCACAAGGAUGGAUUGACACCCAAAAGAUCAGACCAUUCCAAAACUCAAAUAAGCCACACCACGUGAUUUUAGCGGAUUUGGGCAUGAUUUUAUAUGGUGUGACCCACCCGAGUUUUGGGUCAGCCUGAUUUUUGUCCUCCAAAAGGAAAAUGAGGAGGGCACACAUGAUGGACAGUGGAACCUUGCACAGAUCAUGAUGGGCUCCACACGUAUUGUAGAAUAAGCUCAUUCUACAAAUGUCACUAAGGAAUCUGUGUAGUUGUAGAAUAAGCUUAUUCUGCUAAUGUUGCAGAGAAACCUGCCUAGUUGUAGAAUUAGCUUAUUCUGCUAAUGUUGCAGAGAAACCAUAAGAAAAUAUAUGGUUUUAGUAUUUCUUCCGUUAAUAUAAAUCUUAUUGCAAUGUUGCAACCUGGGUGAUUGACUAAAUGGUCAUAUUUAGGGAUGCAUCUCCUUCAUGAGAACUAGUUUAUCUGAGAAAAUGGUCCUUGAUGGAGUGCAAUGGCAGAACAAGAUUCGUGUAGCUGAUUCUAGUUAGUUGGUCUUUAGAUGAUGCUGAUUUUCUUGGCUAUGGUGAGUUUACUGGAAAAGAAGAUUGAAGAAAUGCAAUUGGAAGAGAUGCAGCUUCAAUUCAAAGAAACUGAAAAGAUGCUAGUGAAGGAACAAGAGGCUGUGAAAGAAGCAGCAAACCUAAUUCCUGUCAUAUAGGAGGUCCCAGUCAUUGAUAGUGUGCUGUUGGAUAAACUGACUUUUGAAAAUGAACAACUGAAGGUUUCAUUUCAUGCAGCUGAUGAUCAUUGCCAAAGUUCCUUCCAUCCAUUUUUUGGAGUGCAUGAAGAACUGAAAGCUUUUGUCUGUGACAUUUCACAGGCCACCCUUGCGGAAGUAAACGAUGUAAUAGGUGAAAUUACAAUUUUAAGAAGACUUUAUCAUAAAAACGUGAUUCCUUUGAAGGAGAUUGUAACUUCUUCAGGAUUGUCAAGGUGGGCGUUAUCUAAUUGUGAUUGAAUGCCCACCAUUAAAAACUUCAUGCAGCCCACUCAAUUCAACAGUAUAUGAAUGACAACCUUAUUCAUCAUCAUCUAAGCCUUAUUCCACUAAUUGUGGUCAGCUACAGUUGGACAGUUGGUUUUCCAUUUUUUUAAGAUAUUGGAAUGUUUUGUAUCAUGAAACCUAAGUUCUUAACAAUAUAUUCAGCAUUCUACUAGACUUGCCAUAUUAUUUUCUUCAAUGGUACAAUCUUAACCUUUCAGCGUGUGACCGUAAAAGUAGAUGGCCAAGUUUAGAAAAAGCUGCAAUGGGUGACAUUCAACUGAAAAUUGACCGAACUUUCAUGGCCACAGUCCAGUCUUGGGAGGGAGUUGUUAAGGCUGUGUUUGGAUGCACAUUUGAAUUGCAUUGAUAUUCACUAUAAGGGAAAUGUUCAAACCACAAUUACUUUCCCUAGCAUGCAUAUCAUCUUCUGGGUUCCAGAUUUGGAUUACAUUACCUCCUGACAUGAGUGCUACUUCAUCACUAUGAAUGCUUGACUACUUGGAUAUUUCACUGCAGUGUGGACAUCACAUUUCAAAUUCAGUUUCGCAACCAAAUGUAGCUGAAGAAUUGAUUGCUUCUGGUCCAUGUAGGCCUUUCUUGCUAAUUGGUUAUAAUAGCAAUGUGAAUUUGCUGGAAUUCUCAGUUUGCAUUUUGGAUGCAUCUAAAAAAAUUUAUGGAACAAUAUGUAGAGAUGUUAUGGAAGCAUUUUUCUGCUUGCAUUUGAAGCUUAAAUCAAACUCUUAUUUUGUAAAUCUUAUCGUUGAUCUCCCUAAUGCUUCUGGUUAGGAACUGCAUAUAAGAACAAUAGGUUCUAGCAGCUCAAAGGUGCUACUAAAGGGAAUGGAUUACAGUGAACUUGAAAAAUGGGUUUAGUCGCGUGGUUACAGGUCUGGACAGGCUUUAAUGCUGUGGAAGCGCCUAUAUGGAAACGACAUUUGGGCACAUAGUAGUGAUGAAUUGGAAGGUCUUGGAUGCGGAUAAAGGAGAUAGACUAGAAAGCGCAGUCGGAAGAAUUGCAACACGUGAUAUCGUGCAAUCCACUUGAAAAUCAGAUAAUCUAAUCAUUACAUUAACAGAAGGGCUGGGAUUGGGCUUGAAAUCUAGAUCAGACUAGUCCAUUGGCUCAAUCCAAUUAUCAAUUGGGCCACCCAAUGAAUUGUUGAGUGGGCCACAUGAUCAAUUGGUUCAAUCCAAUUAUCAAUUGGGCUACCUCUAUCCAUAGAAUGGAUAGCUUAAAGACACCUAUUAACAGUUUGGUGUUCCCAUUUAACAAGCAUGACCUGACUUCAUGUUUCAAUGAUCCAAAUUGUUAUACGAGUCCAUGUUCAGUGGGUCGGGUGGACGGUGAGAGAAACCUUGGCUUUCUCAGCCAGAUUUCAAGGAGUCAGGAAUUGCUAUGGUAAGUAAUAGUGAAUGGUUUCAAACAGAAAAUUUGAAUGGAAGUCAGGACUCACUUUCUCAGCCAGAGGUCUUGAUUACUUUCGUUUCUC